AUACGUAGGUGACAAGCGUUAUCCGGAUUUACUGGGCGUAAAGGGCGUGUAGGCGGUCUUGCAAGUCAGAAGUGAAAUUCCUGAGCUCAACUCGGGCGCUGCUUCUGAAACUGCAGGACUUGAGUGCUGGAGGGGAUAGCGGAAUUCCUAGUGGAGCGGUAAAAUGCGCAGAUAUUAGGAAGAACACCGGUGGCGAAGGCGGCUAUCCGGACAGUAACGGACGCUGAGGCGCGAAAGCGUGGGGAGCAAACAGGAUUAGAUCCCCGGGUAGUCCACGCCGUAAACGAUGAAUACUAGGUGUAGGGGGUAUCGACUCCCUCUGUGCCGCAGUUAACACAAUAAGUAUUCCGCCUGGGGAGUACGGCCGCAAGGUUGAAACUCAAAUGAAUUGACGGGG
This 397-nucleotide ribosomal RNA is filed under the name uncultured bacterium. RNAcentral describes it as "partial 16S ribosomal RNA". It matches the Rfam family "Bacterial small subunit ribosomal RNA", at positions 523 to 918 of the family's 1533-position model. The record is from RNAcentral.